GACGAACGCUGGCGGCGUGCCUAAUACAUGCAAGUCGAACGCUUCUUUCCUCCCGAGUGCUUGCACUCAAUUGGAAAGAGGAGUGGCGGACGGGUGAGUAACACGUGGGUAACCUACCCAUCAGAGGGGGAUAACACUUGGAAACAGGUGCUAAUACCGCAUAACAGUUUAUGCCGCAUGGCAUAAGAGUGAAAGGCGCUUUCGGGUGUCGUUGAUGGAUGGACCCGCGGUGCAUUAGCUAGUUGGUGAGGUAACGGCUCACCAAGGCCACGAUGCAUAGCCGACCUGAGAGGGUGAUCGGCCACACUGGGACUGAGACACGGCACAGACUCCUACGGGAGGCAGCAGUAGGGAAUCUUCGGCAAUGGACGAAAGUCUGACCGAGCAACGCCGCGUGAGUGAAGAAGGUUUUCGGAUCGUAAAACUCUGUUGUUAGAGAAGAACAAGGACGUUAGUAACUGAACGUCCCCUGACGGUAUCUAACCAGAAAGCCACGGCUAACUACGUG
RNAcentral lists this ribosomal RNA (508 nucleotides) under uncultured bacterium. RNAcentral's name for it is "partial 16S ribosomal RNA". It matches the Rfam family "Bacterial small subunit ribosomal RNA", at positions 28 to 507 of the family's 1533-position model. The record is from RNAcentral.